RNAcentral lists this ribosomal RNA (484 nucleotides) under uncultured bacterium. RNAcentral's name for it is "partial 16S ribosomal RNA". It matches the Rfam family "Bacterial small subunit ribosomal RNA", at positions 30 to 507 of the family's 1533-position model. The record is from RNAcentral.
AUUGAACGCUGGCGGCAGGCCUAACACAUGCAAGUCGAGCGGAUGAAGGGAGCUUGCUCCUGGAUUCAGCGGCGGACGGGUGAGUAAUGCCUAGGAAUCUGCCUGGUAGUGGGGGAUAACGUCCGGAAACGGGCGCUAAUACCGCAUACGUCCUGAGGGAGAAAGUGGGGGAUCUUCGGACCUCACGCUAUCAGAUGAGCCUAGGUCGGAUUAGCUAGUUGGUGGGGUAAAGGCCUACCAAGGCGACGAUCCGUAACUGGUCUGAGAGGAUGAUCAGUCACACUGGAACUGAGACACGGUCCAGACUCCUACGGGAGGCAGCAGUGGGGAAUAGUGGAAAAUGGGCGGAAGCCUGAUCCAGCCAUGCCGCGUGUGUGAAGAAGGUCUUCGGAUUGUAAAGCACUUUAAGUUGGGAGGAAGGGCAGUAAGUUAAUACCUUGCUGUUUUGACGUUACCAACAGAAUAAGCACCGGCUAACUUCGUG